UGGGGAAUAUUGGACAAUGGGGGGAACCCUGAUCCAGCCAUGCCGCGUGUGUGAAGAAGGCCUUAUGGUUGUAAAGCACUUUAAGCGAGGAGGAGGGUACUGGUAUUAAUACUACCAGGUACUGGACGUUACUCGCAGAAUAAGCACCGGCUAACUCUGUGCGAGCAGCCGCGGUAAUACAGAGGGUGCGAGCGUUAAUCGGAUUUACUGGGCGUAAAGCGUGCGUAGGCGGCUAAUUGAGUCGGAUGUGAAAUCCCCGUGCUUAACUUGAGAAUUGCAUUCGCUACUGGUUAGCUAGAGUGUAGGAGGGGAUGGUAGAAUUCCAGGUGUAGCGGUGAAAUGCGUAGAGAUCUGGAGGAAUACCGAUGGCGAAGGCAGCCAUCUGGCCUAACCCUGACGCUGAGGUACGAAAGCAUGGGGAGCAAACAGG
RNAcentral lists this ribosomal RNA (430 nucleotides) under Pseudomonadota bacterium. RNAcentral's name for it is "Proteobacteria bacterium partial 16S ribosomal RNA". It matches the Rfam family "Bacterial small subunit ribosomal RNA", at positions 355 to 776 of the family's 1533-position model. Lineage: Bacteria; Pseudomonadati; Pseudomonadota. The record is from RNAcentral.